AGGCAUCUAAGCGUGAAGCCCACCUCAAGAUAAGAUUUCCCAUAGAGUAAUCUAGUAAGAUCCCUUGAAGAACACAAGGUUGAUAGGUGAGGGGUGUAAGUGUGGUAACAUAUUUAGCUGACUCAUACUAAUAGAUCGAGGGCUUGACCA
Molecule: ribosomal RNA, 150 nt
Filed under: Clostridium intestinale DSM 6191
Lineage: Bacteria; Bacillati; Bacillota; Clostridia; Eubacteriales; Clostridiaceae
Description: 23S rRNA. Bacterial LSU
Rfam family: Bacterial large subunit ribosomal RNA
Source: RNAcentral